AAAGAAGCUAAGUGUGUUGCACUGGAAUGAUGAAAGAAAGAGUUUGAAAACAUCUCAGGAAUCAGCAAGACCUCACCCAUUACAGGCUCAAAGAAUUUUAUUUGAAAACAGACUGGUAGUAUGCCGUGCUUGCACAGGGUCACCUAAGGAACUGUUCUGGGAUUUGUUUCCCAUAUUCAGUCAUGUGGACACUCAGAGGCCACUGCAAUUAUGUUCCAACAGGGCCUGGAUACCAUUCAUACUGUGGGCAGACAUUAAUAUCCAUUUUACCUUGUUUUGCAGACAUGUAAAAAUUGAGAGCUGUUGGGUUAUGGAGGCUGCUAAGCAGAUUUCAGAAGAAAGCCUGGGAACACCUACCAAAGAACAGCAUAUGCAGGUAGCCUCCUUUCACCUGCUGCCUUCCUCCACCACUCCCCUACCCUAUCCUUCAUCUCUCCUUCCUCAAGAGCAGCUGGAUUAGAAGUCUGUGGGACCAACAGAGUGAAAAGACAACACACAAGACUUCACAGAAAUCAUGAUAAUUUUCCUUAAUACUCAAGAAGGCUGAUGGAAAAAAUGUUACUCAGAUCGGGACCCAGUGAGGGUCUCCUCUGCUCUGGCGGUAGAAUCAGGUUCCACCGCAGCCUCGCGGCUCCUGGACGCCAGACCCGGGCCCACUUCCACCCAUCCUUUCCAAGGCGCGGGAGACGGAAACGCCCAGGACCCGGCGCCUCUUGGGAAGUGGAGUCUGGAGUGGGUCAGACUCGUCGCGCAGCCUCCCCCGCGGGACCAUGGGAGUCCUGCUGCGCCUGCGUGCAGCUGCACACGCCUCCGCACACACAUACACCUACCCCAAGCGGCUGGCUUCUGUGGCCCGGCGAAGCCUCUGAGAUCGCUGUGGCUGAGCCUUCAUAGCUCUCUACCCUGUGCCAAGAGCCACAGAACAUGAACACAGCUCAGGUGAGUUCUCUUCAUUCCCCACAUCCAUGGAUUUGGGAGCUGGGAGGGUCUAUGCAUUAAAUGGAAAAGGGGAAAUCAAAAUAGAUCAAAUCACUUUUGAAGGUAAAUACAGUUUUAUCAUAAACUACCACACAGAGAACAUUAUCAGGGUAAGUAGAGUCCCUCCAGUUAAACUGUUUGCUAACAUAUUUGGCCAUGAAUGUGCAUUGAUGAAUACUUUUUUAUAUCUUCUGGUAUAAAACUAUAGCUGUUUUCUUUAUUAUAAAUAAUGUACUGGACUUUGUAAUAUUGCCUUGAAAUAUUGCCUUGAAUUGUGACAUAGACCCUAGUUGCUAAUACGUGUGAAGAAUUGUUUUUUACAUAUUUUCCUAAGAGUUUUUGCUAAUACAUUAGGACCUAAUUUCUUUUUAAAAAUAAUUAACUAACUUAUUUAUUUACGUUUGGUUUUUUGAGGCAGUGUCUCCCUUUGUAGCUCAAGCUCUCCCUGAACUCUAUAUAGUCCAUGCUGAGUGAUCCUCCUGCCUCAGUGUCCCAAGUUCUGGAAUUACAGACACAUGCCACCACACCCAGUGAGGGUUUAAUUUCUGCACUCACAAAUUGGAAUAGACUAUUCUUUUUUGUUCCCCUGCCUUAUUAUGUUAUCAUGGUUAUAUUCUCGUAGUAAGGGGACAAUUUUGUGCUCCUUUUCUAAUUUAAAAAAUGAGAACAUUUUGUUACAUAGUAUAUACAUUGUAUGAAAUUCACCUUACAAGGACUCUCUCUGUGGAGAUUUUGAUUAUUGAAUCAGUGUGUUAGUCAGCUUAUUAGUCAGUAUAUCGAUCCUGUAGUAGAUUUGUGUUAUAUCAGUAUAGUUUUCAUCACUACAAUUUUAUAGAAAAUAUUUCAUUCUUAUAUUUUAAAUAAGUAUUCUCACAAGCUUUUCAAUAGUAUGCUCUUAGAAUUUCAGAGGCUUACUUCUGCUAUAUCAGUAAUGCCUUUUUUGUCCAUCUUUUAAAUGUUGGUCUGGUGUAAAAGUUGCUGAACAGAAAAUACUGUAGUUAGUCAUAGAAUUUUAGAGUCUAAAGACCUGUGCAGUUUUUGCUGGCAGAGUUCUCUAAAUAUUGGAAGUAGAUGAACAUACACUUGCCGUAUUUGUGCUUUCUGGUUUAGACACCUGUCAGCACAAUUUGUGGAAAGCAGUGUACUUUUUCCCCUGAAUUACUUUGGUACUACUGGGACAUGAAUUAACUGCAUGGGUCUAUAUUUGGACUCUGUUUAUUGGUGACGAUUUGAGUUUAUCAUUUUGCUAAUACCACACUGCUCUCUCUACAGUAAAGUCUCUCUACAAUAAGUCUUGAAAUUAGGUAGUGUGUUUGUCAAUUUUGUUCCUCUUUAACAAUUGACGUGGCUAUUCUAAAUCUUUUACUGUUUUGUGCGGUUUUUUAAAAACCAUUUAUAUGUCUUGAAAAAGCUCACUGAGAUUUUGAUUUUGAUUGCGGUGAACCUGUUGAGUCUACUCUAGAGUAUAAAUCCGUUUUGGGAGAAUUAGCGUCUUGAUCGUAUUGGAUGUUCCAGUUUGUGAACGCUGUAUAGUGUUUCAGUGCCACGAAAGUAUUUGAGGUGAGAGAUGGUAGUUGUACAGGUAACCCUUAAAAGAAUCACUUUUUUUCUUUUCUUUACUGGAGAUUGAAACCAAAGAAGCUCUGCCACUGAGCUACACCCCCAGUUUAUCUUUCUUUUUCAUUUUGAGACAGACUCUUGCUAAGUUGCCCAGCCUGGCCUCAAAACUGUGAUCCU
This is a long non-coding RNA of Chinchilla lanigera (long-tailed chinchilla), 2715 nucleotides long. The record is from Ensembl. Lineage: Eukaryota; Metazoa; Chordata; Mammalia; Rodentia; Chinchillidae.